Molecule: ribosomal RNA, 253 nt
Filed under: uncultured bacterium
Lineage: Bacteria
Description: partial 16S ribosomal RNA
Rfam family: Bacterial small subunit ribosomal RNA
Source: RNAcentral
UACGUAGGUGGCAAGCGUUGUCCGGAAUUACUGGGUGUAAAGGGAGCGCAGGCGGGAAGCCAAGUCAGCUGUGAAAACUACGGGCUUAACUUGUAGACUGCAGUUGAAACUGGUUUUCUUGAGUGAAGUAGAGGUUGGCGGAAUUCCGAGUGUAGCGGUGAAAUGCGUAGAUAUUCGGAGGAACACCGGUGGCGAAGGCGGCCAACUGGGCUUUAACUAACGCUGAGGCUCGAAAGUGUGGGGAGCAAACAGG